This is a long non-coding RNA of Astatotilapia calliptera (eastern happy), 654 nucleotides long. Lineage: Eukaryota; Metazoa; Chordata; Actinopteri; Cichliformes; Cichlidae. The record is from Ensembl.
GGGUUAAAUAACAGCUAGUAUCAGAGGUGGUCAUCGGAUGAUGGUGGUCUAAAUAAAUAAUGAUUAAACCUUCUUAAAACUGCUUCUUAGAUUUAUCUGGAGCCCUGCCUGCGCGUGUUUGUUUGUUUGUUUGGAAAUGCGGCUCUCUUUUGCACCCAGCUGCCACAAAUUCCAAUUUUCUCUUUGCACAACUCACAGGUCGUAAAAGCAUUUUACGACCUGACCCUGUUCGCCAUUGGCCGCUCACUGUCAUGUGUGCGCGUGCAGUGUGCCGACAGCUUUGCCUCGCGCGCUCUCGACACCACAGAAGUGUUUCUCGGCAUCCGCGCGCCUCCAUGGACGAAUGCCGUGGAAGAAAAUGGAGUCCAGUAGACUGAUGAUGUCAGUGCAGUGCAAAAACCCAAGUUUCAACUGGAUGUUUUUGAAGACAAAAACAGACCGCAGGUUUGUCCAGGGGGCUUCAUUUCACAGUUUUCCUCGGCAGACAUCGAGGUUUAAGUUGCUUAAACACUAUCAAAUUUCAGGCUUGAUCAUGCAGGCUGCUGUUUAUUUCUGUUUUAAUAGUCCUUCUGUCAUGGCUCGUAUUUGGUGUUCGGCACAGUUCAGCUCAUGCUUGAGCAUUUAAAUAACAAUGUGUUUCUUUAUAAAAUGUCC